RNAcentral lists this long non-coding RNA (1091 nucleotides) under Homo sapiens (human). RNAcentral's name for it is "non-protein coding lnc-PHF20L1-1:1". Lineage: Eukaryota; Metazoa; Chordata; Mammalia; Primates; Hominidae. The record is from RNAcentral.
CUAGCUAAUUUUUGUAUUUUUAGUAGAGACGGGGUUUCACCAUAUUGGCCAGGCUGGUCUUGAACUACGGACCGCAGGUGAUCCGCCUGCCUAAGCCUCCCAAAGCGCUGGGAUUACAGGUGUGAGCCACGGCACAUGGCCUAUCUUAUUGUUUUAAUUUCCAUGUUGAUAUCCAAUUGCUCCAGUACCAUUUGUUGAAAAGAUUAUCUUUUUUCCCUUUGAAUUACCUCGGUGCCUUUCUUGAGAGAAAAGUAACCAUAGUUAUGUUAGUUUAUUUCUGCAUCCUAUAUUCUUUUUCCACUAAUAAAUAUGUCUAUCCUUAUGCCAACAUGAGACUCUCUUAAUUACUAUAGCUUUCUAGUGAGGUUUGGAAUCAGGUAGAAUAAUUCUAACUAUGUUGUUCCAUAAAAUGUUUUUGCUAAUUCUAGAUUUUAUUUUUGCACUUCCACAAACAUUUUAGGAUCAGCUUGUCAGCUUCUUUUAAAACCUGCUGGAAUUUUGACAGGAAUUGCACUGAAUCUAUAGAUCAAUUGCUGUCUCAACAAUAUUGAAUCUUCUGAUCCAGGAGCAUGGCAAGAACAUUCAGUCCAAUAUGAAUAAAAGAGGUGAGAGUGGACAUUCUUGCCUCAUUCCCUUGGGAGAAAACAUUCAGUCUUUCACUAUUAAAGAUGAUGUUAUCUUUAAAUUUUUGGUACAUGCCUUUUAUCAGAUUGAAGUUACCUUUUUUUCUGGUUUGUUAAGAGUUUUUUUAUGGUUAUUAUUAAUGGGUGUUGGAUUUUGGCAAUGUGUUUUUCUGUUUCUGUUGACAUGGUUGUAUAACUUUUGUAUUUUUUAAUAUAGUGUAGUACAUGAAUUCUUUCAGAGGUUAAACCAACUUUGAAUUCCCAGAAUAGACCCUGCUUUGUCAUGAUAUAAAAUGCAUUUUAUAUAUUGCUGGAUUUGAUUUGCUAUUAUGUUGCUAAGGAUUUUUGUAUUCGUAUUCAUAAGGGAAUAUUGUUCUGUAGUUUUAUUUUCUUGUAAGAUUUUUGUGUGGCUUUGAUAUCAGGGUAAUACUGGCUCUAUUAAAUUAACUGGAAAGGGUUCUUUUUUUU